RNAcentral lists this ribosomal RNA (793 nucleotides) under uncultured beta proteobacterium. Its description in RNAcentral is "bacterial SSU rRNA". It matches the Rfam family "Bacterial small subunit ribosomal RNA", at positions 28 to 774 of the family's 1533-position model. Lineage: Bacteria; Pseudomonadati; Pseudomonadota; Betaproteobacteria. The record is from RNAcentral.
AAUGAACGCUGGCGGAAUGCUUUACACACUGCAAGUCUGAACGGCAGCACGGACUUCGAGUCUGGUGGCGAGUGGCGAACGGGUGAGUAAUACAUCGGAAUCGUGCCCAGUCGUGGGGGAUAACCGUAGCGAAAGCUACGCUAAUACCGCAUACGAUCUACGGAUGAAAGCGGGGGAUCGUCAAAGACCUCGCGCGAUUGGAGCGGCCGAAUGGCAGAUUACGUAGUAUAGGUAGGUAAAAGGCCUACCAAUGCCGAACGAAUCUGUAGACUGGUCUGAGCAGCGACGAACCAGCCACCACUGGUGACUGAGAACACGUGCCCACGACUCCUACGCGGAAGGCACCAUGUGGGGAAUUUUGGACAAUGGGCGAAAGCCUGAUCCAGCCAUUCCGCGUGCAGGAUGAAGGCCCUCGGGUUGUAAACUGCUUCCGUACGGAACGAAAAGGUCCUGGUUAAUACCUGGGCUCAUGACGGUACCGUAAGAAUCAAGCACCGGCUAACUACGUGCACAGCAGACCGCUGGUAAUACGUACGGGUGCAAGCGUUAAUCGGAAUUACUGGGCGUAAAGCGUGCAGCAGGCGGUGAUGUAAGACAGGAGGUAGAAAUACCCCGGGCUCAACACUGGAGAACCUGCCUUUGUGACUGCAUCGACUCGAGUACGGCAAGAGGGGGCAUGGAAUUCCGCUGUGUAGCAGUGAACAUGCGUACGAUAUGCGGGAGGAACACCGAUAGGCGAAGGCAUCCCUGGGCCUGUACUGACGCUCAUGCACGAAAGCGGUGGGAGCCCACG